GAUGAACGCUGGCGGCGUGCCUAAUACAUGCAAGUCGAGCGAACAGACGCGGAGCUUGCUCCUCUGACGUUUGCGGCGGACGGGUGUGUAACACGUGGAUACCCUCCCUAUCAGUCUGGGAUAACUUCGGGAAACCGGAGCUAAUACCGGAUAAUAUAUUGAACCGCAUGGUUCAAUAGUGAAAGUCGGUUUUGCUGUCACUUAUCGCUGGAUCCGCGCCGCAUUAGCUAGUUGGUACGGUAAAGGCUUACCACGGCAACGAGGCGUAGCCGACCUGAGAGAGGGGUCGGCCACAUGGGAGCGGAGACACGGUCAAUAGGACUACGGGAGGGAGCAGUAGGGAACCGGCCGCAAUGGUCGAAAGCCUGACACAGCAACGGCGAGUGAGAAGUGAAGGUCUUCGGAUCGUAAUACUGUGUUAUGAGGGAAGAACAAAUGUGGAAGUAACUGUGCACGGCUUGACGGUAACGAGUCAGAAAGCCACGGCUAACUACGUG
RNAcentral lists this ribosomal RNA (497 nucleotides) under uncultured bacterium. RNAcentral describes it as "partial 16S ribosomal RNA". It matches the Rfam family "Bacterial small subunit ribosomal RNA", at positions 28 to 507 of the family's 1533-position model. The record is from RNAcentral.